AUAAAGUUUUAUUUUGGCUUAAAAGUUUAUUAUUAAUUUAAUUUAUAUGUAAAUUUUUGUGUUUAAAAUUUAUUAUUUUAAUAAUUAUAAAUUUUAUAAUAGCAAUAAUUGAUAUUAUUUUAUUAUUAAAGAAAUUUAGAAAUAGUAAUAUUUAAAAGUAUUGACAAAAUUUGUGCCAGCAGUCGCGGUUAUACAAAUAAUACAAAUAAAUUUUAUUAGUUUAAAGUUAGAUUAAAUAAUAUAAUUUAUAAAAAUAAAUUUAUUAGGUGAAAUUUUAAAUUUAUUAAUUUUUAAAAUUUAUUAAUUGAUUCUUGAAAAUUUUAAAUAAAAACUAGGAUUAGAUACCCUAUUAUUUAAAGUGUAAAUAUUAAAAAUUAAGGUAUUAGUAGUUAUGUUCUUGAAACUUAAAAAAUUUGGCGGUGUUUUAAUCUAUUCAGAGGAACUUGUUUUUUAAUCGAUAAUCCACGGUGGACCUUACUUAAAUUUGUUUUCAGUUUAUAUAUCGUCGUUAUUAGAAUAUUUUAUAAGAAAGUUAAUUUUCAUAAUUUUUAAUAAUAAAAUAUAUCAGAUCAAGGUGUAGCUUAUAUUUAAGAGAAAAUGAGUUACAAUAAAAUUAUUUAAACGAAUAUAAAUAUGAAAUAUUUAUUGAAGGUGGAUUUGAUAGUAAAAUUAUAAAGAUAAAUAAUUUGAUUUUAGUUCUAAAAUAUGCACAUAUCGCCCGUCACUCUUAUUAUUAAGAUAAGAUAAGUCGUAACAUAGUAGAUGUACUGGAAAGUGUAUCUAGAAUGCA
RNAcentral lists this non-coding RNA (790 nucleotides) under Panzeria anthophila. Lineage: Eukaryota; Metazoa; Arthropoda; Insecta; Diptera; Tachinidae. The record is from RNAcentral.